Molecule: ribosomal RNA, 253 nt
Filed under: uncultured bacterium
Lineage: Bacteria
Description: partial 16S ribosomal RNA
Rfam family: Bacterial small subunit ribosomal RNA
Source: RNAcentral
UACAGGGGGGGCAAGCGUUGUUCGGAAUUACUGGGCGUAAAGGGCUCGUAGGCGGCCAACUAAGUCACACGUGAAAUCCCCAGGCUCAACCUGGGAACUGCGUGUGAUACUGGAUGGCUUGAAUUCGGGAGAGGGAUGCAGAAUUCCAGGUGUAGCGGUGAAAUGCGUAGAUAUCUGGAGGAAUACCGGUGGCGAAGGCGGCAUCCUGGACCGACAUCGACGCUGAUGAGCGAAAGCUAGGGGAGCAAACGGG